This is a long non-coding RNA of Hermetia illucens (black soldier fly), 1297 nucleotides long. RefSeq lists it as uncharacterized. The record is from RefSeq and is a predicted model, not a curated record. The transcript has 2 exons. NCBI's taxonomy places the organism in Eukaryota, Metazoa, Arthropoda, Insecta, Diptera, Stratiomyidae.
CUGAAUAUUCUCCAUGCCUGAAUAUUCUCCAUGAAGCCAUGGAAGCUCUUGGUACUAACAUAAGACGCAAUGACAAGAAGUGACAUUUACCAGUAACAUCUCCAACAUCAACAGUUACUGAGAGCUCCAGAUCGACUGAACCUCAUUCGAAGACAUUCCAGAUGCAUCGAUUGUCAAUCUGGAGACACUGCGAUCCAAUGUUCAAGAGGAACUUGCAGACAUUGUAACAAACGAUAUAAUACGUUAUUGCAUCUACCGACAACUUAUGACAAUUCAUCCUUAAAACAAUAUCAGCAGGAGGGCAUUGAAUCAAGCACCAGCCAAACAAACAAUCUAUGGCUGAAGCGGUGACGUUAACAGCUAUAACAGUGCAGCCAUGGACCUAAUACAUGAUACUAUGCACAGCUCUUGUUAGCAUAAAAGGCAAUAAUCAAUUGUAGAGCAAUCCUAGAUUCGGGAUCCCAAAUCAACAUCCUGUCCGAGCGGAUCUGCAAAAAACUACAACUAAAUCAGCAGUUGAGUGGUAUUAAAAUUCAAGGCAUUGGAUAUGGACACUACAGGACGAGUUGUUAAGAUCACAGGCGACAGCAUUCUCAACAAGAGUAGAAACAUUCAAUUCCAAGGACAUGGCCCUGCGCAGAUUCCACGGAGCUAUAAAAGGAAUAUAUUAAAUUCAUGGAGUAUCUGGCUUUAGGUAACACGCAGGAAAUAACAAAGGUUCGUAACACGCACUACUAUCGUGUUUGAUGCAUCAACUAAAACUAGUUCCAACGUCGCACUCAACCACAUCCUAUUCAAGGUUCCAAAGGUAUGUCAUGACAGCAGAUAUUGUGAAGACGUAUCGUCAGAUAAAACUCUAUCCAGAAGACCGGAACUUUCAUACGACAAUAUCAACUGAAUACAGUGACAUAUGGGACAAAAUCAGCACCAUACUUUGCGACUAAAUGCUUGGAAAAACUCGCAAAGGGGGAGCUAUUCAAAUAUCCUAACGCAUCAAAAGCAGUAUUCCUAAAUUGCUAUGCCGAUGACAUAAUGACCAGAUGCAACAGUAUUCCGGAAUUAUUGAAGACUCAAUCGGAGCUCAGCAUACUAUUCGCUCAAGCCCCAACUUUGUGCUGCUAAAUUGGCUGCUGAAUUGGCAGAUCGUAUCAAGGAAAUAUUAUACUUAGCAUGAUAGACAUACGAACCAUAUUGGACAGAUCCCCAUAUAGUGUUAUCGUGGAUUCAAUCGCAGUCUUCAGCUUCAGAUUUAAUAUUUAAGGAAGAACAAUAUCGAAUAAAGACAUCCUGUUACAGA